AUGUUCCAGGAGCUUGCACCAGACAAUCCAGAUGACAAGUGUGGUCACCACUACACGAUUUGCCUUGACCUGAAGAACCAACGAUUUGAGGUGCUUGAUUCAAUGCAUUCAGAAGCUGAUGAAGACCUUACUACACAUGCUGAAUUCUUCAUCAAAAACCUCAAAGAGACAUGGAACCAUCACUAUGAAAACUCAAAGGUCCAGAUCAGACAUUUUCCAAUCGAGUAUGUCGCGACUAUGAAGCAAGGAAACCGCAUGAUUGUGGCUUUCACACAUUGGAAUACCUUGCAAAGUGGGAAGGUCGACGGGUCCCUGUCGUCAUAG
This 324-nucleotide ribosomal RNA is filed under the name Triticum aestivum (bread wheat). RNAcentral's name for it is "partial small subunit ribosomal RNA". The record is from RNAcentral. Lineage: Eukaryota; Viridiplantae; Streptophyta; Magnoliopsida; Poales; Poaceae.